RNAcentral lists this ribosomal RNA (397 nucleotides) under uncultured bacterium. Its description in RNAcentral is "partial 16S ribosomal RNA". It matches the Rfam family "Bacterial small subunit ribosomal RNA", at positions 523 to 918 of the family's 1533-position model. The record is from RNAcentral.
AUACGUAGGGGGCGAGCGUUGUCCGGAAUGAUUGGGCGUAAAGGGCGCGUAGGCGGCCCGGUAAGUCUGGAGUGAAAGUCCUGUUUUUAAGAUGGGAAUUGCUUUGGAUACUGUCGGGCUUGAGUGCAGGAGAGGUAAGUGGAAUUCCCAGUGUAGCGGUGAAAUGCGUAGAGAUUGGGAGGAACACCAGUGGCGAAGGCGACUUACUGGACUGUAACUGACGCUGAGACGCGAAAGUGUGGGGAGCAAACAGGAUUAGAUACCCUGGUAGUCCUCACUGUAAACGAUGGAUGCUAGGUGUAGUGGGUAUCGACCCCUUCUGUGCCGCAGUCAACACAAUAAGCAUUCCGCCUGGGGAGUACGGCCGCAAGGUUGAAACUCAAAUGAAUUGACGGGG